GAUUUGGUGCUCUUUUUGAUAUAGAUAGAAUCUUUAUCAGUCACUUUCCACGGACAUGAUCUCAUAGUUGAUUCUGAACUGUAGCUCAACUAUGGCAGACGUUAUGGUUUGUUGGGAUUGAAUGGCUGCGGGAAGUCUACUCUUCUUACCGCCAUAGGAUUGCGGGAACUUCCCAUUCCAGAGCACAUGGAUAUUUUUCAUCUUUCACGGGAGAUUGAAGCCUCUGACAUGACCUCUCUUGAGGUCGUCAUUAAUUGCGAUGAAGAGAGAUUGCAAUUGGAGAAAGAAGCUGAAGCAUUGGCUGGGCAGGACGAUGGUGGUGGAGAGCAACUUGAACGGAUCUAUGAGCGUUUAGAAGCUAUGGAUGCAGCCACUGCAGAGAAACGUGCUGCUGAAAUCUUGUUUGGGCUUGGAUUUGAUAAGAAAAUGCAAGCAAAGAAAACACGUGAUAUUUCUGGUGGCUGGAGAAUGAGGAUUGCUCUUGCGCGUGCCCUAUUUAUGAAUCCAACAAUUUUAUUGCUUGAUGAGCCCACAAACCAUCUCGACCUAGAGGCCUGUGUGUGGUUGGAAGAAUCCUUGAAGAACUUCGAACGCAUUUUGGUUGUCAUUUCACACUCGCAGGAUUUUCUCAAUGGUGUGUGUACCAAUAUCAUCCACAUGCAAAACAAGAAGUUGAAACUCUAUACAGGUAACUACGGCCAAUAUGUGCAAACCCGUUCAGAGCUGGAAGAGAACCAGAUGAAACAGUACAAAUGGGAGCAGGAGCAGAUUUCUGCAAUGAAGGAAUACAUUGCUCGCUUUGGGCAUGGUUCGGCUAAACUUGCCCGUCAAGCACAGAGUAAAGAGAAGACAUUGGCUAAGAUAGAGCGCGGUGGGCUUACUGAGAAGGUGGGGAGGGACAGUGUCCUGGUUUUCCGGUUUACUGAUGUCGGCAAACUUCCUUCUCCAGUUCUACAGUUUUCCGAUGUUACUUUUGGCUACACGCCUGAUAACCUCAUCUACAAGAACCUUGAUUUUGGUGUAGAUUUAGACUCCAGGAUAGCACUUGUGGGACCAAAUGAUGCUGGAAAGAGCACACUGCUUAAGCUGAUGAUAGGGGAUUUAUUUCCCACUGAUGGCAUGGUUAAGCGGCACAAUCACCUAAAAAAUUGCACAGUACCACCAGCACUUAACUGAGAAGCUAGACUUGGAAUUGUCAGCUCUUUUGUACAUGAUGAGAGAGUACCCUGGGAAUGAGGAGGAGAAGAUGAGAGCAGCAAUUGGUGUUGGUUUACUAACAAUUGGGAGGUUUGGCUUCACAGGUAAAGCUCAAGUAAUGGCUAUGGAGAACUUGUCAGAUGGUCAACGUAGUAGGGUGAUUUUUGCAUGGUUGGCUUUUAGGCAACCCCACAUGCUGCUGUUGGAUGAGCCAACCAACCAUCUUGAUAUUGAGACCAUUGACUCACUUGCAGGGGCGUUGAACGCAUGGGAUGGUCGGAUGGUUCUAGUGAGUCAUGACUUUAGGCUCAUAAACCAGGUCGCCCAUGAGAUAUGGGUAUGUGAAGAUCAGGCUGUGACACGGUGGGAGGGUGGCAUCAUGGACUUCAAGAAACACUUGAAGAAAAGGGCUGGAUUGGGUGAUUAAAUUAGUGAUACUAUGUGUUUUAUUUUAGGAAGUGUGAUGGCAUCACUGUUUCCUCUUGGUGGUUCAGUGCCAAGGCGUAAUGGUGAAACAUCAAUAAGCCACAUCACGGUAGCUG
RNA transcript from Solanum dulcamara, 1739 nucleotides. It is a transcript of the gene named ABC transporter F family member 1-like, with no coding region annotated. The transcript has 5 exons. The record is from RefSeq and is a predicted model, not a curated record. Lineage: Eukaryota; Viridiplantae; Streptophyta; Magnoliopsida; Solanales; Solanaceae.